CAGAGAUCUAAAAAUCCCCUGAGACCUUCCAGAGACCCCAAAAGCCCCAGAAACUCCAAGCUCCCCAGAGACUCCCCAAAACACCCAAGAGCCAAAACAUAUCCCAUCCCCCCUGCUUCACUCACUUGGGUCCGACUUGGAGAAGGUGUCCCUGUCCAGGAGCUGCCUGGGGAGCAAGGAGGAGUGAGUGUGAGUGUGCAUGCAUGUGUGUGUGUGUGUGUGAGUGAGUGUGAAUGUGAAUGUGAGCAUCUGGCUGUGUCUGUGACUGCGUGUACCCAUUAUGCAGUCAGAUGUGCCGCAGAACACACGCUGAGGUGCACAGCCUCAGGUCGUGCCCUCUUGUGUGAGAGGGUGCAUGGCAGGGUGUGAGCAACCAGGUGUGCCCCACGACAUGGAUUGUGGUGCAAAGCAUGUUUGACACAUGUUGGGGGGCCAUGCGCUGGGGGCUCAACCAUGUGUCAGGGUGCACAGCAGGGCAUUGAGCAUCUCAGUGCAUUCCAGUACAUCUCAGCAAUUCACACCACCAACUGCUCUCUCUCUCCGGUGCAUUCCAGUGCAUCUCAGGGGACCUCAGUGCAUCACAGUGCACCCUGGCAUCCUUCGACGGCAGCUGCUGCGGCACUCCAGUGCCUCCCGAUGCAUCUCAUUGCGCUCCAGUGCAACCCAGUGCCCUACAACGCCAACUGCUCCCAACUCUCCAAUGCUUCCCAGUCUAUUCCACGGGAUCUCAGUGCCUCCCAAUGUACCUCAGCACCCUCCAAUGCCGCUCCCCAGUGCUUCCCAGUGCCUCUCUGUGAAUCCCAGCACCCUCCAACGGCAGCUACCCCUACACCACAGUCACCACAGUGCAACCCAGUGCCUCCCAGCACCUUCCAACGCCAGCAGCAGCGCCUCCCUGCGCCCCCGCCGCCCGGUGCCGGCUCCCGCCGCGGCCCCGCUACCUGCAGGACACUGUGAGUUCCACGCGAGUGGCCGGGACAGCACCGGGGCCGGUGCCCGGUUCCGAGGCACCCAGGCCCGCCAUGCCCCGGGCUCCGUCGCUGCCCCGACACCGGCACUAGCACUGCGAUCGCGAUCGGCUCCGCCUCGGGACCGCCCUUGGCACCGCCCGGGGCUCCCGGUACCGGCUCCGGCCCCACACCGAGGGACUGCCCCGGGGUCUUCUUCGGGACCGCCUGCCGGGAGAUCGGGACCGCCCUUGGCACCGCCCGCGGCUUCUGGCACCGGUCCUGGCCCCGCGCCGAGGGAGUGCCCCGGGCUCUUCUUCGCGACCCCUGUCGGGAGACCGUGACCGGCUCGGGACCGCCCCCAGAUCCCCGGUACCGCCUCCGGGAUCGCCCCCGGGGCCGGCUCCCCUUCUCCGGUACUACCAUGGACCCUCGAUACUGCCCCUGGGAUCUCCCCGAAAUUUUCGGGAUCACCCCCAGAUUCCUGGGAUCUACCCUCGCACCACCUCCGGGCCUGCUUCCAAAUCCCCGGUACCACCCCGGCACCUCCCCGGCCCGAAGGACCCCACCGGCUCCGCCUCGGAAAUGCCGCCAAAUCUCCGGGAUGGCCCCCGCAUCAACUCCAGGGCCGCCUCCAUAGCCCGGUUCCCCCCGGAAGCCCGGUCCUGUCCCCGGGAUCCCCCUCAGAUUCCCGGGAUCGCUCCGGCAUCAAGGCCAAAUCCCUUGUACCAAAUCCCUUGUACCUCCCCCGACCACCGGUACCUCCCUCGCAUUGCCCGCGGGGCCGCCUCCUCAUUCCCGAUACCGCCUCGGACCACCGGUACUGUGCCCGGGAUAGCUCCCAGAUCCCCAGCAUCACCCCCAGAUCCCCGGCAUCAGUCUGAGAAAGGCCAGUGCCUUCCCCCGCAUCGUCACCAGCGCUGCCUCCCCAUCCCCAGUGCCCCCCGGACACGGGUACCAAGGAUCAGACCUGGGAUCGCCCCAAGAUCACGGCUACCGCCCCGAAGCUGCCUCCAGACCCUGGUACACCAUGGACGAUUGGUAGCGCCCCCG
RNAcentral lists this long non-coding RNA (2000 nucleotides) under Taeniopygia guttata (zebra finch). RNAcentral describes it as "lncRNA (ENSTGUG00000018805.1)". Lineage: Eukaryota; Metazoa; Chordata; Aves; Passeriformes; Estrildidae. The record is from RNAcentral.